RNAcentral lists this ribosomal RNA (497 nucleotides) under uncultured bacterium. Its description in RNAcentral is "partial 16S ribosomal RNA". It matches the Rfam family "Bacterial small subunit ribosomal RNA", at positions 28 to 507 of the family's 1533-position model. The record is from RNAcentral.
GAUGAACGCUGGCGGCGUGCCUAAUACAUGCAAGUCGAGCGAACAGACGAGGAGCUUGCUCCUCUGACGUUAGCGGCGGACGGGUGAGUAACACGUGGAUAACCUACCUAUAAGACUGGGAUAACUUCGGGAAACCGGAGCUAAUACCGGAUAAUAUAUUGAACCGCAUGGUUCAAUAGUGAAAGACGGUUUUGCUGUCACUUAUAGAUGGAUCCGCGCCGCAUUAGCUAGUUGGUAAGGUAACGGCUUACCAAGGCAACGAUGCGUAGCCGACCGGAGAGGGUGAUCGGCCACACUGGAGCGGAGACACGGUCCAGACGCCUACGGGAGGCAGCAGUAGGGAAUCUUCCGCAAUGGGCGAAAGCCUGACGGAGCAACGCCGCGUGAGUGAUGAAGGUCUUCGGAUCGUAAAACUCUGUUAUUAGGGAAGAACAAAUGUGUAAGUAACUAUGCACGUCGUGACGGUACCUAAUCAGAAAGCCACGGCUAACUACGUG